Molecule: long non-coding RNA, 5136 nt
Filed under: Lactuca sativa (garden lettuce)
Lineage: Eukaryota; Viridiplantae; Streptophyta; Magnoliopsida; Asterales; Asteraceae
Description: long non-coding RNA (LSAT_LNC006885)
Source: RNAcentral
CGUGCCCACCAAGGGUUAGGGUAUCAUCGCAUGAAUACGUAGUUACAAUAUCGCCUGAACUCGUAAUUCAUAGUAAGGAGGUUAGAGUAUCAUCGCAUGAAUACGUAGUUACAACAUCGCCUGAACUCAUAAUUCAUCACCACGGGGUUGUCUAUAAUAGUCCGUGGUCGCCAUCUAUACUCUGGUAGAUGACUACAUCUCCAAAUUGUCGGACAAGGUUGUAGUAUCCUACAUCACCGAUUCAUCAUCACCUAUCUAUCCUCACCUAAUUAUCAUCACCUUCCUAUCAUCACCUAUCUCUCAUUAUUUUAUUUCAUCACACACCAACUAUUACAUCUACCCAUGUUUUAUCCCAACAUAUUUGUAGAUAUAAAAUAAAUAUACAGUUUAAAUCAUUUAAAACAUGUAUAAAAUCAUUCAUCCAGCAUAGACAACAAGUAUUCAGAUAAUAUGCACACAUAGCACGUAAUUUAUGUAAAAUACUUCAUAUCUAUAUGUAAGAUGAAAGUAACUAUGGACUCACUUGAUAAGGUGGUGAGUCGGCACUCGGACAACACUUUGUUACUCUUAAAACAAUUAUCCCUUGACGAAACCUAGUAUCAUUACCACUAGAGUUUAGUCUAACGCUUGACGAGACUAAUUUAAUAGUCUAGCUAUUAUUACUAUUAUAUAAGCGUUAAAUAACACUCAAUAUAACUCAUAAUAAUAGCCUAAAUAAUUAUUUUAAGGUCCUAACAAUGUUACNCGGGCUUCGCUGGAGCAGCGUUCCCGAGCCGAAAGGCUGUUUUCUCGGGACUCCGGGAGCCUCAGGGAUUCCUUCAGGUGCUAGGGGGUUUACCUAGACUUUAGGGGGCUUAAGGGGAGCUAGAGAGAGAAAGUGGAAGAGGAAAGGUGUGAAAAUGAAUGGAACCUGGCACAUCUAUUUAUAGUGUGAAAUCCUGAUGACUCGCCGAGUAGGAGGACCUACUCGCCGAUUUGGGGCAUGUGGCAGCCUUCUGGUGGUGCCACGUGUCUAAUUCUGGUGGUGCCACAUCACCCCCUAUCGUGUAUCAGCCUUCAAACUUAGAAAAAUCAUAACUCUCGCAUACGAGCUCCGUUUUUGAUGUUCAUUUUUCAACGCGUAGUUAAAAUCAUGAUCUACAACUUUCAUUUAGACUCCAUCGGCUAAUUCUCGACCGAUCUUAAAUUUAACAGUAGGAGGCGUUUAGACUGUUAAAUGACCGCGAAGAAUUCGUAACUCCUUCAUACGGACUCCGUUUUCAUCCAUAUUUUUACCGUUGAGUUCCUAUUAAUGAGAUCUUCAACUCUCAUUUAGGUCGCGUAAGCCAAAAACCACUCGAACUAAAAUUCGAGUUUCGGGUCGUGCACUGCUAAGCCGAAUCUUAGAAAAAUCAUAACUUCCUCAUACGAAGUCAGAUUUGGGCGUUCUUUUUAUGGAUGUUCUCGGUUUAACAUAUAAUACAACUUUGGUUUAGAUCACUAAGGCUAAAAAUUCCUCUAUCUUAAAUUCACUAUUUACGUCUCCCGGUGUUGUGUCGGUUUUGCCGUAAAACUUCGACGGGCCAUAACUUCUUCGUUAUAACUCGGAUUUCGGCGUUCUUUAUAUGUACGAAAACCUUGUGCCAUAUUCUACAAAUUGGUUAAGCUUAUUUAUUCUAAAUAAUCUUUUGUCGAAAAUUCAUUUUCGACCCCUAUUGCCUCUAAAUUGACUAGCCCGAAUUUGCGGGCGUACAAUUAUCUCCCCCUUAGGAUGAUUACGUCCCGAAAUCAUCAACGAAACAGAGCUCGUAUAAUGACUCCAUAAGUCAUCUCAUCAUCCUAGGUAAUAAUUAUAACUUCUAUAUUCCUUAAAGUCUAUCUCUUAGACACAUUGACUGUAAGCAGUACUCGAUUGUGCACCUACUCUCUACCUCAGGCUAGACUCCAAAUUAUGACCUUCAAGUCACAACCUCGAUCCUCACUGGAUACGAACUUGAGAUAAGUUCUUUUAUUACUACUAUGGAUCGAUGUGUCAUAUUCUAAUGACCUAUCAUCGUAUGUUGCAACGCUUAGACUUAGGUCUCUUAGAGUCAAAUUCCGGAAUGGAAUAUGCCUUCCUUCAUGGUCUAAUGUGAUAUAAUCACAUUUUAACAUGUAGCAUUUCUAGCUACCAGCUUCUUUAACAAUGAGCGCGAUACUUCUAUUGAUCGCUUUGAUUUCAAUCGUUUGGUUUAAGUCGGACGCUACAUCAAACUUGGUUCUCUGAACCACGUAACCUACUCAUCGUAGUCGGACUCAAUGUGAUAUGACCACUAGGGUCGGAAUAACAAUCAUCUUCUUAGUCAUUUACUGAAACGAUGGUAACGACAUUCUUGAAUAAAAACGGAAUCAGUUAUUGGCUUCUUGGUAACCUUGUGACUUUCCCUGAUCCAAGUGUGAGUCCUGUGCUUCCGGUAGUAUAGGCCUCUACUACCAUUCACACCUACUCAUACUCGUCCCAAGUAUUGUCUCGCAGUUUUCCAAGUCACCAUACAGGAAAAUCACAUAACAGUUUAACACAUCAGAUAACAAAACGAAGGUUUUAUUAUUUCUCGAAACUAUUACAUAGGUGUUCAAGUUCACCCUAGACUAUGCCUCUAAUAGGCUACAUCAUAUGAUACUAUGGCUACUACAUAACUUGAUCUUCGGAUAUGAAGUCCUCAUCCUUGAUUCCUCGCAUGGUUUUCUGCUUCGUUGAGGAUCAUGUGGAAUGCCCUUGGUUUUGGCGGUGCAUUUGGUCUUGCUGCUUCGUUUUUUUUGGACAGUCCUUUAAAAUAUGCCCAUUACUUCCACAUUCAUAGCACUUCUUGCUGUCGAAUGUACAAUCUCUAGAAUAGUGACCGGUCCUACCACACUUAUAGCACGUCACUUCUCCAUCGCAUCUUCCGAAGUGCUUCUUCUUGCACUUCUCACACCACUUGGCUCCAUUCCUUCGGUCGUCCAGGUUAGACUUCGAGAACUUUCCCUUAUUACCAGGUCUUGAUGAUCCUUCAAACUUCUUCUUUUCACCAACUUUAGCUUUCUCCAGACCCUUUUCCCUUAUUUAGGUCUCAACAUUCUUGGCUGCCCAGAUGGCAGCUUCCNCAGAUGGCAGCUUUCAAAGUGGUUGCUUGUUUGACCAUUGGACCAAAGUCCGCUGGUAAUCCAUUGGCAAACUUGUUGACCUUGGAAAGUUCCAUUGGAACUAGGUAAGGAACAAGCUUCAUCUUCUCCAUAAAACUUGCAGCGUACUCGGGGACACUCAUUUUUCCUUUCUUUAGGUUCUGAAACUCGUUGUUGAUCUCUAGUAGAUCCUGCUCAGAGUAGUACUGCAUUUUCAGUUGCUUCAGGAAAUCUUCCCAAGACAUCUUGCUUGCUUCUCCCUUGGGCAUCUUAUCUGCCAAAAGCUUCCACCAGCUCAAGACUCCGGUCUUUAGUUGUCUGACCGCAAAGACGGUUUUCUGCUUGUUUCUACAGUCGCAACUCUCAAACACCAUCUCCAUCUCGGAAAUCCAGUCCAUAAUUUCCACAGGCUUCGGGCUCCCUGAGAGACUUGGUGGUCUUGCACUUAAGAAAUUCUUGUACAUUCGCCCAUCCUUGUCGUUUCUCCUCUCCGGGCCAUCCCUUCUUUCACCUUGAGUCCCUACUUGACUCACUUGGCGGCUGUAGUUCCCUUUCUCAGAUUGCUCGGGAAUUGGCUCGGUCGGCUCCGCAUGUAUGGUAGGUUCGUUCCUAUUUUCGUGGAACAUCUAUCUCAUUUCUUCCCUUUGUUCAGCUAGCAUAGGCCGAAUCAUGGCUUGAACUCCAGCCAUGGUGAUUGGCUCGGGUACAUCUUCUACUACGACAGGUAUUUGUUGAAUCACCGGGGGUUGAUUCCUAUUCUCAUUUGCAUUCACGUUUCCGCUACUGGUCCUUGCCAUCUUGAUCUAUACACCGAAUAAGGUGAAUCUAGAUCUUUAUUUAGGAUUGACGUUUAAAUCAUCCUUAUCACUCCGAAACAUUUACAUGCUAGUUCUAAUAUCGUAGUCGUAUGUUUAGAAUCCUAAACACAUAAGGUUUCCAGAUCCGGUCGGCAACAGACAAUAGAUCCGAAUAAAUAACAGCAUAUAAGGCAUAAAGAAUUUAGCACAUAAAAACAUAAUUCCUAAAAUAAGCUAGUGCUCACACCUCACAAUCAUCGCUUAGCAUUCUAAGUUUAAGUCUAGAAAUAAAUCCAUAUUCCUAGUUCGCUUAAACUAAUGCUCUGAUACCAACUGUGACAUCCCCAUUUUCACGGCCAGAAAAGACCGAUUUUGUUUAUGCUUUGUAAAAAUCAGAGUACUUCUUUUCAUAAAAAUGUUGCAGAAUUUGUUCACAGAAAAAUAUGAUAAAUACGUUAUCAAAACAUUUUCGAAGAAACGUAUUUUAUUCAUUUUAAAACGUUUGGGAUGUCAUCGUCAAUACAGGAACAUAAGCAUAAACGGAACUUACAUUUAUUUACACUAGUGAUCUACAUCUCUUUAAUCUCUCAGUGUAAUGUCACUUCAUAUCGACACCUAUGAUAUAAAUAAACUGAGUGGGUCAGGUUGGGAAACCUGGUGAGUAUAUAGGGUUUUCAACCCACAAUAAUAUAAUUAUUAUGUUUAAACAAUCAAACAAUCAACCCAAUUACCCAUCCCCAUUAUCUUCUUUAUUCUUAAGGAUCUACCCUAAGAAUCAGCUAUUUCUCAUUCAUUCAUUCCUAAGGAUCAUCCUAAGGAAACAACAUGAAGUCCAUUGUUGCCAAUGACACAUUGGUCAAGCGCAGCUGCUAAUAUUGUCACUUAGGCUCAGCUGCCAGAAUUAGGACAUUUUCUAUGAGGCGCUUCUGCCGGUAUUGACCUUUAAACACUACUGUCAUGGUCAUAAGGCUCCCUAUUAGGCGCANGUAUCAUCGCAUGAAUACGUAGUUACAACAUCGCCUGAACUCAUAAUUCAUCACCUACAGGUUAUGAGCCUGCUGGUGUUUCCACGGGGUUGUCUAUAAUAGUCCGUGGUCGCCAUCUAUACUCUGGUAGAUGACUACAUCUCCAAAUUGUCGGACAAGGUUGUAGUAUCCUACAUCACCGAUUCAUCAUCACCUAUCUAUCCUCACCUAAUUAUCAUCACCUUCCUAUCAUC